CAAAAGCGUAUAUUAAAGUUGUUGCAGUUAAAAAGCUCGUAGUUGAACCUUGGGCUUGGUUGGCCGGUCCAUCUUUUUGAUGCGUACUGGACCCAACCGAGCCUUUCCUUCUGGCUAGCCUUUUGGCGAACCAGGACUUUUACUUUGAAAAAAUUAGAGUGUUCAAAGCAGGCCUUUGCUCGAAUAUAUUAGCAUGGAAUAAUAGAAUAGGACGUUAUGGUUCUAUUUUGUUGGUUUCUAGGACCAUCGUAAUGAUUAAUAGGGACGGUCGGGGGUAUCAGUAUUCAGUUGUCAGAGGUGAAAUUCUUGGAUUUACUGAAGACUAACUACUGCGAANGNAUUUACNAAGGACGUUUNCAUUA
RNAcentral lists this ribosomal RNA (362 nucleotides) under uncultured eukaryote. RNAcentral describes it as "partial 18S ribosomal RNA". It matches the Rfam family "Eukaryotic small subunit ribosomal RNA", at positions 592 to 975 of the family's 1831-position model. The record is from RNAcentral.